RNAcentral lists this ribosomal RNA (253 nucleotides) under uncultured bacterium. Its description in RNAcentral is "partial 16S ribosomal RNA". It matches the Rfam family "Bacterial small subunit ribosomal RNA", at positions 524 to 776 of the family's 1533-position model. The record is from RNAcentral.
GACGUAGGGCGCGAGCGUUGUCCGGAUUUAUUGGGCGUAAAGAGCUCGUAGGCGGUUUGUCGCGUCUGCCGUGAAAGUCCGGGGCUCAACUCCGGAUCUGCGGUGGGUACGGGCAGACUAGAGUGAUGUAGGGGAGACCGGAAUUCCUGGUGUAGCGGUGAAAUGCGCAGAUAUCAGGAGGAACACCGGUGGCGAAGGCGGAACUCUGGGCCUUAACUGACGCUGAGGCGCGAAAGCGUGGGGAGCGAACCGG